Molecule: long non-coding RNA, 2337 nt
Organism: Symphalangus syndactylus (siamang)
Lineage: Eukaryota; Metazoa; Chordata; Mammalia; Primates; Hylobatidae
Source: RefSeq, a predicted model, not a curated record
CCUGGGUUGCUUCUACCUUUUCUAUACUGUGAAUAUGUUUUUAAACUGCAUGUAUAAAUGGAUGAAGUGUACCAAUGAGGAAGGCACAAGAGUUACAUUUGGUUACACCAAGCCUUCACAGGGACCAAAAAUAGGUGUUAAAAAAAAGUGGCCGGGCACGGUGGCUCACGCUUGUAAUCCCAGCACUUUGGGAGGCCAAGGCGGGCGGAUCACGAGGUCAGGAGAUCGAGACAACAGUGAAACCCCGUCUCUACUAAAAAUACAAAAAAUUAGCCGGGCGUGGUGGCGGGCGCCUGUAGUCCCAGCUACUCGAAGAGGCUGAGGCAGGAGAAUGGCGUGAACCUGGGAGGCGGAGCUUGCAGUGAGCCGAGACUGCGCCACUGCACUCCAGCCUGGGCGACAGAGCGAGACUCCGUCUCAAAAAAAAAAAAAAAAAAAAAAAAAAAAGUAAGCUUGGUUUUCAUAAAGGGUAGUAUUUUGGGGAUACAAGACAAGUGAUUAAAAGCAAAAGUCUGGAGUCAGACUGCCUAAGUUUGUAUCUCAUUUCUGCCACCUACUAGUGGUAUGACCUAGGGCUAGUAGAUCAACCUCUCUGAGCUUCGGUUUCCUAAUCUGUAAAAUGAGGAUGAUGACAUCUACACAGAGUUGCUCUGAUGUUUAUGAGAGAUAAUCUAUAGAAAAUUGUCUUGUACAGGGCCUGGCAUAUAAUAUACACUCAACAAGUAACUGUUAAUUAGUGAUGCAAGAAUGCUCUCAGGAGAGCUUAUCUAGUUAAUACAUAUAUAACUGCUUAGCCUACAUAAUGUAUACUUUUGUUUUUAAAAGAGAAUAUUCAUGAGGUGAGAAAGUUUAGCCCCAAAUGUUAACUAAGAAAAAAAAUGGGAGUCACAUAUUUCAACAAAAAGGAAGAGCAAAUGUUUGGGAUAUAAACAUAGAAGAUGUUUAAAUCUCUUUGAAAAUGUACAAUCAUAUGGACAGUGAUCCUUUUCUAGAUGACAAGUUACAUAUCCUACUGGAUAUUUGUCAAUUCAUGCUGUUACUCAUAUACAUCAAGCAUUCAAAUGCAUGUGGUAAUUCUCUACUUUAUUUGGACAGUCCCAGAUUUGUUGCAGAAAGAGCUCUAAUAGAUACGCCAAAGAAAAGGAUUCUCCCAUUGAUGGAAGAGCGGGUAAUCAGUAUGCACCUAAAGUAGAAUAUUAAGCAUCCACUUUGCACAGGAGCCCAAGGAGUAAGUCACUACAUGUCAAUUUUGUCCAAAGAUCCAAUCAUAGAAGCUAACUUUAAGAUUGAAGAAAUUUGCAACUCUGCAUCUCAGAAUGUUACACCCAAAUAGAAGAAUGUGGGGUGAGGAAUGUUCUUUCUUGAUUUGUCACCACAUCGAUCAACUAGGAAAAGAAAUGAUGCUCUUGCCCUUAUGUGGCCUUCCAUCGCUUUUAUCUUCAUCUUUGGUAACAAAGAAGCUACUAGACAAUUGCUAGAGGGGAUGGUCAGAGCAGCCCUCUGCAUAGACAGGAGUCUGACAAGUGCUAGGCCCUUUGUCCUUCAAACCUGGCAGAAGGUAGGAGCUGUAACUUCCACAUUUUGUUACCUGCAGUUAAUUGAAUUUAAUUGAAGUGGGGUAAGUCGAAUGUGAUGGCAGAAUUCCUCCCCAUGUGGUCCAGUUUGGAAGUGCUCACUACUUGCAGAUCCCCCUUCAUCAAGUUCAGAAGGGGAUUCACUUACUAAAACGGUUUCCUAACUGGUCUCCUGUUUCUCUCCUUGACCUAUCUGGUCUUUUCACAACCCAGCAACUGAAGUGACCCCUUCAGUAUGUGGGUCAGAUCCCAUCCCCCUUUACUCCACGUUCAAAGCCCUCCAUGGCUCUCCCACCUAAUGCAGAGUAAAAGCUGAGGUCUUUCCAAUGACCUGCAAAGCCCUGCAUGAUCUGGCUCCAGGUUGCAGACUGUUAACUUCUCAGAAAGACAGCAAGGGAGCUCUCUGGGUUCUUUUUAUGAGGGCACUAAUCCCAUUUAUAAGGGCUCCCACCCUCAUCACUUGAUCACCUCCCAAAGGCCCCACCUUCUAAUACCAUCACAUUGAAGGUUAGGAUUUCAAUAUAUAUGAAUUUUGGGGGCACACAAAUGUUUAGUCCAUAACACAUUGCAACCCUUACCUGCAUUCCCAAUUAGUACUCCACCAGGCACUUACUAGCUUCCAGCAUCCUCUGUAAUUGUCUUAUUUAUUAUGUUUAUUGUUUGCAGUCUACAGCAAGAAUGUAAGCUGCAUUAAAAUAAGUACUUUCAUAAAUUUUGUUCACUGUUAUAACCUGAGUGCUUGGAAGAGUGCCUUGUGCCUAGC